GGAAGUAAAAGUCGUAACCAAGGUUUCCGUAGGUGAACCUGCGGAAGGAUCAUUAUUGUAUAACCGAGGUGCGAGGGCUGUCGCUGACCCGAAAGGUCGUGCACGCCCGAGUGCCCUCACACACAUCCAUCUCACCCCUAUGUGCACCACCGCGUGGGUCCCCCUUUGGCUUGUUCGGAGGGGGGCUUACGUUUUCACACAAACUUUGUAUGCAGUGUAGAAUGUAUUUUUUGUUUUUGCGAUCACGCAAUCAAUACAACUUUCAACAACGGAUCUCUUGGCUCUC
Molecule: unclassified non-coding RNA, 286 nt
Filed under: plant metagenome
Description: partial contains small subunit ribosomal RNA, internal transcribed spacer 1, and 5.8S ribosomal RNA
Rfam family: Eukaryotic small subunit ribosomal RNA (bases 1-55)
Source: RNAcentral